Molecule: long non-coding RNA, 870 nt
Organism: Lathyrus oleraceus (garden pea)
Lineage: Eukaryota; Viridiplantae; Streptophyta; Magnoliopsida; Fabales; Fabaceae
Exons: 3
Source: RefSeq, a predicted model, not a curated record
GGGCAAUGUUUAUAUAAAUUCUUCUUUUCAUGGUGUACGUAAUUGCAUAUGGGAAGUCUUUUCUUUUAGUUUCUGUCUUAUUGCUGUGCUAGAAACGCAAUUCCGGCUGGCAUUAUCUGGUUGGUGCCAUUUAACUGGUCCAAUCUGGAAUUUGGUCUGUGCUUUACAACUUGGUUCAAGCCUGCACAGGCUCUCAUCGAAGACCAACAUAUAGCUAAUGCCGCAUUGCAUCAUGGCUUGUAGUGAAUUGGAAUGGUUUAUGUUUUGCAAUGUACUGUUGGUGUAUAUACUUAUUUAUGUGUUGAUGAUGUUUCUGAGGAUUUCUGAAUGGUUAGGACAACAACGUGCAUCACAAUAAUUGGAACCGUUGUUUGUUGAUGGCUUGCGUUGUUGUUGAUCCACAGUGCAUGAGAUCAUGAUUUGUAUUAUCUGAUGAGCAUUGUUUACAAUUGGAAUUCCUUCUCCACUAAACAUGUGAUUGAUUACAGGUGUUUAUGGUAUGGCAUUGACUUGACAGCAGGUUGGUCAUUUGGUCCCAUAGCUUCACUUCCUAUUCUGACUUUGGUUUAGGCAUAUCUACUCCUACUGAUUUGGUGUUUGGCAGCAGCUCUUCAUUUGUCCAUUGUGUUUGUGGUGCAGGUUUAGUAUAGGUUUGGUGCAGAUUUCGUGCUGCAGGGUCUAGGAUCUUACCAUGAUGCAGCCAUGAUACAAGCAGGUCAUGAUUAUGGUUUGUCUGUAGGUGGAUUGUUGUUUUAUUGUAGGUUGAUGGUUCAGCUCAUGUUGUAAUGAUGCUUGUGUAAUGUUUAUGUAUGGACUGCCGCAGGCCUUAAUGAAUGCCAUACACUGUUGUUUUAGGUGAUUUUCAUUGAA